CACGGUCCAUACACCUACGGGUGGCAGCAGUAGGGAAUAUUAGAAAUGGGCGAAAGCCUGAUCUAGCAACACCGCGUGUGCGAUGAAGGCCUUCGGGUUGUAAAGCACUUUUUGGAGGGAAUAGGAAGGAAGGUACCUCCAGAAUAAGUCUCGGCUAACUACGUGCCAGCAGCCGCGGUAACACGUAGGAGGCAAACGUUAUCCGGAUUCACUGGGCGUAAAGCGCGUGUAGGUGGUUCUGUAAGUAGGGCGUGAAAGCUCCCGGCUCAACUGGGAGAGGCCGUACUAAACUGCAGAGCUAGAGGAUGGUAGAGGGAGGUGGAAUUCCAGGUGUAGUGGUGAAAUGCGCAGAUAUCUGGAGGAACACCAGUGGCGAAGGCGGCCUCCUGGACCAUUCCUGACACUCAGACGCGAAAGCUAGGGUAGCAACCAGAAGUAGCGACUCCGGUAGUCCUAGCCCUAAACGAUGCAGAAUAGGCGUCGGCGGUUUAAUCACCGUCGGUGUCCAAGCUAACGCGAUAAGUCUGCCGCCUGAGGACUACGGCCGCAAGGCUAAAGCUCAAAGGAAUUGACGGGUCCCCGCACAAGCAGCGGAGCGUGUGGUUUAAUUCGAUGCUCCGCGAAGAACCUUACCUGGGUUUGACAUAACAGUGGUAGAGAAGUGAAAACGGAUCGACCCUUCGGGGAGCUGUUACAGGUGUUGCAUGCCUGUCGUCAGCUCGUGUCGUGAGAUGUUCGGUUAAGUCCGCUAACGAGCGCAACCCGCGCUGUGUGUUACAAGUGUCACACAGUACCGCCGGUAUUAAGUCGGAGGAAGGUGCGGAUGACGUCAAGUCAGCAUGACCUUUAUAUCCAGGGCUACACACACGCUACAAUGGUCAGAACAAUAGGUUGCCAAGCCGUAAGGCGGAGCCAAUCCUCCAAAUCUGGCCUCAGUUCAGAUUGCAGGCUGCAACUCGCCUGCAUGAAGUCGGAGUUGCUAGUAACCGCAGGUCAGCAUACUGCGGUGAAUACGUUCCCGGGGAUUGUACUCACCGCCCGUCAAG
RNAcentral lists this ribosomal RNA (1046 nucleotides) under uncultured bacterium. RNAcentral's name for it is "bacterial SSU rRNA". It matches the Rfam family "Bacterial small subunit ribosomal RNA", at positions 325 to 1401 of the family's 1533-position model. The record is from RNAcentral.